This 160-nucleotide ribosomal RNA is filed under the name Dactylodinium arachnoides. RNAcentral describes it as "5.8S ribosomal RNA". It matches the Rfam family "5.8S ribosomal RNA". Rfam says of the family: 5.8S ribosomal RNA (5.8S rRNA) is a component of the large subunit of the eukaryotic ribosome. Lineage: Eukaryota; Dinophyceae; Suessiales; Borghiellaceae. The record is from RNAcentral.
ACAACUUUCAGCGAUGGAUAUCUCGGCUCAAGCAUCGAUGAAGGGUGCAGCGAAGUGCGAUAAGCAUUGUGAAUUGCAGGAUUCCGUGAACCAACAGGUCCUUGAACGUGCAUUACGCUUGUGGAGUACUUUCAUAAGCAUACCUGCUUCAGUGCUGAUG